GAUGAACGCUGGCGGCGUGCCUAACACAUGCAAGUCGAACGGAGAUUUAACGCUGAUGAAGCUUCGGCAGAUUCUUGUUAAAUCUUAGUGGCGGACGGGUGAGUAACGCGUGGGCAACCUGCCUCAUACUGGGGGAUAACAGCUGGAAACGACUGUUAAUACCGCAUAAGCGCACGGUAUCGCAUGAUACAGUGUGAAAAACUCCGGUGGUAUGAGAUGGGCCCGCGUCAGAUUAGCCAGUUGGCAGGGUAACGGCCUACCAAAGCGACGAUCUGUAGCCGGCCUGAGAGGGCGGACGGCCACAUUGGGACUGAGACACGGCCCAAACUCCUACGGGAGGCAGCAGCGGGGGAUAUUGCACAAUGGAGGAAACUC
This 375-nucleotide ribosomal RNA is filed under the name bacterium YSD2009. RNAcentral's name for it is "bacterial SSU rRNA". It matches the Rfam family "Bacterial small subunit ribosomal RNA", at positions 28 to 383 of the family's 1533-position model. The record is from RNAcentral.